This 30-nucleotide non-coding RNA is filed under the name Mus musculus (house mouse). The record is from RNAcentral. Lineage: Eukaryota; Metazoa; Chordata; Mammalia; Rodentia; Muridae.
UGGAACUCACUUUGUAGACCAGGCUGGCCU